RNAcentral lists this ribosomal RNA (600 nucleotides) under uncultured Entrophospora. Its description in RNAcentral is "eukaryotic LSU rRNA". It matches the Rfam family "Eukaryotic large subunit ribosomal RNA", at positions 57 to 600 of the family's 3401-position model. The record is from RNAcentral. Lineage: Eukaryota; Fungi; Glomeromycota; Glomeromycetes; Entrophosporales; Entrophosporaceae.
AAAAGAAACUAACAAGGAUUCCCCUAGUAACGGCGAGUGAAGAGGGAAGAGCUCAAAUUUUAAAUCUGCCUUGUUUUCAGGGUCGAGUUGUAAUUUGAAGAAGCGUUUUCUUGGGCUCGCGGCCGGUAGAAGUUCUUUGGAACAGGACAUCAUAGAGGGUGACAAUCCCGUCUGCGACCGGUCGUGUGUUCAUCUACGAUACGCUUUCAAAGAGUCGAGUUGUUUGGGAUUGCAGCUCCAAAUGGGUGGUAAACAUCACCUAAGGCUAAAUAUUGGCGAGAGACCGAUAGCGAACAAGUACCGUGAGGGAAAGAUGAAAAGAACUUUGAAAAGAGAGUUAAACAGUACGUGAAAUUGUUGAAAGGGAAACGAUUGAAGUCAGUCGUGCUGGCGCGAAAUCAACCUUCUCGUCUUGAGAUCACAUGGCGUGGCGAGCCUCAAAACCGUCACGAAGCGUGAACUCUUGGUGAAAUGGAGCACUUUCGUGUCCGCUGGUUAACAUCAAUUUCGAACGUCAUAAAAAGGCUGGAGGGAUGUGGCUCCUUCGGGAGUGUUAUAACCUUUAGCGGAAUGUGGUGGUCGGGAUUGAGGAUUGCAACG